GAUGAACGCUGGCGGCGUGCUUAACACAUGCAAGUCGAACGGGAUCCCAGGGGUGCUUGCACUCUUUGGUGAGAGUGGCGAACGUGUGAGUAACAUGUGAGUAACCUGUCCUUUUCUUUGGUAUAAGCAUUCGAAAGGGUGUUUAAUACCUUAUGUUCUUUCUGCGUCGCAUGGGGUGGUAGGAGAAGGUCUUGGCCGGACUUGGGUGUGAUUGCGGUCUGUCUGCUGUAGUGUGGGGUGAUGGCUUACCCAGACUUUGACGGGUAGACGGCCUGUGAGGGUGGUCGAUCACAUUGGGGCUGAGGAACGGUCCAGGAUGCUGCGGGAGGCAGCAGUGGGGGAUGUUGCACAAUGGGCGAAAGCCUGAUGCAGCGACGCAGCGUGGGGGAUGGAGGGUUUAGGGUUGUAAACUUCUUAUGCUCUAUACGAGGCAUGCCGGUGGGUGUGUUGAGUGUAGGGGUUAAUAAGCGCCGGCUAACUACGUG
This 485-nucleotide ribosomal RNA is filed under the name uncultured bacterium. Its description in RNAcentral is "partial 16S ribosomal RNA". It matches the Rfam family "Bacterial small subunit ribosomal RNA", at positions 28 to 507 of the family's 1533-position model. The record is from RNAcentral.